This 374-nucleotide ribosomal RNA is filed under the name uncultured organism. RNAcentral's name for it is "bacterial SSU rRNA". It matches the Rfam family "Bacterial small subunit ribosomal RNA", at positions 526 to 896 of the family's 1533-position model. The record is from RNAcentral.
CGUAGGAGGCGAGCGUUAUCCGGAUUCACUGGGCGUAAAGCGCGUGCAGGCGGUUCGAUAAGUUGGAUAUGAAAUCUCCUGGCUUAACUAGGAGGGGGUUAUUCAAUACUACCGGACUAGAGAGUGGUAGAGGAAGAUGGAAUUCCAGGUGUAGUGGUGAAAUGCGUAGAUAUCUGGAGGAACACCAGUGGCGAAAGCGAUCUUCUGGACCAUUUCUGACGCUCAGACGCGAAAGCUAGGGUAGUAAACGGGAUUAGAGACCCCGGUAAUCCUAGCCGUAAACGAUGUAAACUUGGUAGUCGGUGGCUUUAACUCCUUCGGUACCGAAGCUAACGCGAUAAGUUUACCGCCUGGGGACUACGAUCGCAAGAUUA